AAUGCACCAAUUUGUAAGUCGCUCUGGAUAAGAGCAUCUGCUAAAGGACUUAAA
Molecule: non-coding RNA, 54 nt
Organism: Salmo salar (Atlantic salmon)
Lineage: Eukaryota; Metazoa; Chordata; Actinopteri; Salmoniformes; Salmonidae
Source: Rfam